RNAcentral lists this ribosomal RNA (497 nucleotides) under uncultured bacterium. Its description in RNAcentral is "partial 16S ribosomal RNA". It matches the Rfam family "Bacterial small subunit ribosomal RNA", at positions 28 to 507 of the family's 1533-position model. The record is from RNAcentral.
GAUGAACGCUGGCGGCGUGCUUAAUACAUGCAAGUCGAGCGAACAGACGAGGAGCUUGCUCCUCUGACGUUAGCGGCGGACGGGUGAGUAACACGUGGAUAACCUACCUAUAAGACUGGGAUAACUUCGGGAAACCGGAGCUAAUACCGGAUAAUAUAUUGAACCGCAUGGUUCAAUAGUGAAAGACGGUUUUGCUGUCACUUAUAGAUGGAUCCGCGCCGCAUUAGCUAGUUGGUAAGGUAACGGCUUACCACGGCAACGAUGCGUAGCCGACCUGAGAGGGUGAUCGGCCGCACGGGAGCUGAGACGCGGUCCAGACUCCUACGGGAGGCAGCAGUAGGGAAUCUUCCGCAAUGGGCGAAAGCCUGACGGAGCAACGCGGCGUGAGUGAUGAAGGUCUUCGGAUCGUAAAACUCUGUUAUUGGGGAAAAACAAAUGUGUAAGGAACUAUGCACGUCUUGACGGUACCUGAUCAGAAAGCCACGGCUAACUACGUG